RNAcentral lists this ribosomal RNA (542 nucleotides) under uncultured archaeon. RNAcentral describes it as "bacterial SSU rRNA". It matches the Rfam family "Archaeal small subunit ribosomal RNA", at positions 457 to 997 of the family's 1478-position model. The record is from RNAcentral.
GUCAGCAGCCGCGGGAACACCGGCGGCCCGAGUGGUGAUCGUGAUUAUUGGGUCUAAAGGGUCCGUAGCCGGUUGGUCAGUCCUCCGGGAAAGUCUGAUAGCUCAACUAUUAGGCUUUCGGGGGAUACUGCCAGACUUGGAACCGGGAGAGGUAAGAGGUACUACAGGGGUAGGAGUGAAAUCUUGUAAUCCCUGUGGGACCACCUGUGGCGAAGGCGUCUUACCAGAACGGGUUCGACGGUGAGGGACGAAAGCUGGGGGCACGAACCGGAUUAGAUACCCGGGUAGUCCCAGCCGUAAACGAUGCUCGCUAGGUGUCAGGCAUGGCGCGACCGUGUCUGGUGCCGCAGGGAAGCCGUGAAGCGAGCCACCUGGGAAGUACGGCCGCAAGGCUGAAACUUAAAGGAAUUGGCGGGGGAGCACAACAACGGGUGGAGCCCUGCGGUUUAAUUGGACUCAACGCCGGACAACUCACCGGGGGCGACAGCAAUAUGUAGGCCAAGCUGAAGACUUUGCCUGAAUCGCUGAGAAGUGGUGCAUGG